This is a long non-coding RNA of Oreochromis aureus, 514 nucleotides long. Lineage: Eukaryota; Metazoa; Chordata; Actinopteri; Cichliformes; Cichlidae. The record is from Ensembl.
AUUUACGACUGCAUGCAGAACAUGACGAGCUGUGAUCCCACAGGUCCUCUGCUAACUGAGCAAAAACCUACCCCUGGACCCAGAGCCAAGGGUUGUACCUCCAAAUCAAUAUGUGAUACACAAAUAUCGCAGGGCUCCGUGUUCUGGACGGGGAGCGAUGACGAGGGCCUGAGAGUUAGCCAGCUUUACACCACCUGCCAGAGGAGAAUGAUCUGAUGUGGAAGGCUAGAAGCUUCUGGUAGAAUCAGCGUGAAAAGCAUGUGGUCAGACUGUGUUAAUCAGAUUCAAACUAUGCAUUGCUCCUUUUAAAUCGGUGUUAAUACUGGUCUUUUAAUAACGGGAGAUAUCUGCAGCUUGAAGUUUUUCCCCAUCAAACUGGAUGUCGCUCUGAUCUGAUCGAUCAGAGUCAGAUCAAAAAAGCUCAGUUAAGAAACAGACGGCUGAUUUUACACAUUAGUUAAACUGGAUUGGAUGAAAAAAUUAAGGGGAAAAAAAGCUGUAUCGCUUAAUGGGC